UCUGACUAGAGGCUACACCGACACUUUCUCUUUUCCAGAUGAUCCCAGCCCAUCCUGACAAUAGUCUGCUCAAAAGAAAACCUCAAUCCCUUGUCUGUGCUUUGCCAUGAGAAAUAAUGAGCACUGUCCCUGCAAGGAUACCAGCUCAUGAGGCUGAUCUCAGUGUGUGGCCCUAGGGAUUGUCCAUGCAGGCAACUUGUGGAAGUCUCUGGGCAGCAGAAAGAUGUGUGUCUGAUGAUUCCCUGACCAUCCGUGUUACUGGCACUAAUUUGCUAUGCUAAAGAGACUGGCACUUUCUGAGGUUAUUGGAAUGAGAUAAUAUCCUCUUAUCUUCUCUACUUUCCCUUCAG
This 350-nucleotide long non-coding RNA is filed under the name Cavia porcellus (domestic guinea pig). RNAcentral's name for it is "lncRNA (ENSCPOG00000037463.1)". The record is from RNAcentral. Lineage: Eukaryota; Metazoa; Chordata; Mammalia; Rodentia; Caviidae.